This 457-nucleotide ribosomal RNA is filed under the name uncultured bacterium. RNAcentral's name for it is "SSU rRNA". It matches the Rfam family "Bacterial small subunit ribosomal RNA", at positions 26 to 518 of the family's 1533-position model. The record is from RNAcentral.
AGAAUCAACGCUGGCGGCGUGCCUAACACAUGCAAGUCGAACGAGAAAGUGGAGCAAUCCAUGAGUAAAGUGGCGCACGGGUGAGUAACACGUGACUAACCUACCCUUGAGUGGGGGAUAACCUAGAGAAAUCUGGGCUAAUACCGCAUAAUACCUUCGGGUCAAAGGAGCAAUUCGCUUAAGGAGGGGGUCGCGGCCGAUUAGUUAGUUGGCGGGGUAAUGGCCCACCAAGACUGUGAUCGGUAUCCGGCCUGAGAGGGCGCACGGACACACUGGAACUGAAACACGGUCCAGACUCCUACGGGAGGCAGCAGUGGGAAUUUGCGCAAUGGGGGAAACCCUGACGCAGCAACGCCGCGUGGAGGAUGAAGCCCCUUGGGGCGUAAACUCCUUUCGAUCGGGAAGAUAAUGACGGUACCGAGAGAAGAAGCCCCGGCUAACUCGCGCCAGCAGCCGC